Oncorhynchus keta (chum salmon) is the source of this 773-nucleotide long non-coding RNA. RefSeq lists it as uncharacterized. The record is from RefSeq and is a predicted model, not a curated record. Lineage: Eukaryota; Metazoa; Chordata; Actinopteri; Salmoniformes; Salmonidae. The transcript is spliced from 3 exons.
CCUCCCCUGACAGCAGUAACCAUCUUAUCAGCAAUUAAAAGCUCAGAAGUGGGUUGGACCAAAACUUGACCUUUCAUCACAAGUACAGGGUCAUGACAAGGUGAACGAGUGUAAGCAUCUUCUGACAGGUGGCUGGUUUCAUCAGGUCUGUGACAGCCUUGUGUUGUCGGACAACCAGAUAACCACGGUGGGAUCCAGACAGGAGGAGUCUGAACGUAAACACCUUCUGAUAGUGUCUGAAGGUCACAACACUCAAAAAAGGUUAACACACACACAGAGAGGUCCUGAAGAGGAGACCUUACAGUUUAUCAUAACAUAAUGUAUUAACCCUUUAAAGGGUAUAAGGCCUUGGUUUAACCCUCUUCACCACCUGUGGAUCUGUGGACUGCUGAAGAGUGUUGACCAGCUGCCCCCCCGUGGCCUGGCCCAUAACAAGGAUCAUAGGAGAGCUUCUGCAUCCUUCAAAAGAGGGGUGACCUUCAGAGAAAGUCAGUUCCGAAAGAGUUUGUAAGUCACUUGAAGAAUUACCUGGGAGAUAAUGUCCUGAUGGUUUAACUGAGCACCACGACCUGCUUCGAGAAGGUCUUGGAGGCAGCUCGUCACCUUGGUCCCGAUUUCAGUGAGGGCUCUUUGGACGAUGUCCCUUGUGCUGUCUCUUCCUGCUGCCAUGUCCACCAGGCUCUCCACGACCUCCCUGACUUCCUGUGGAAUGUAUUUCUCUCUUUUCCAUGUGAUCUCUAAAUGCUCCUCUUAUGACUAUUGAUAGAGGUUAA